UGACCGGGGGCGUCUCAAGUCAAGCCCUCUGGCUCGCGUCAUCCCUGGAUCCCUCAAUUCCCCCCGGUUUCAGUCCGCUCUACGCGCACGAUAGUGCGUCAGAUCCAGCCAUCCACGGCUCCGGUCCCUCGGGCUCUGUCUCCGGCCCUGCUGCGCUCACACCGUCCCCUAACCUAAAUAAACCUGUUAACCCGU
This is a long non-coding RNA of Fundulus heteroclitus (mummichog), 195 nucleotides long. RefSeq lists it as uncharacterized. Lineage: Eukaryota; Metazoa; Chordata; Actinopteri; Cyprinodontiformes; Fundulidae. The record is from RefSeq and is a predicted model, not a curated record. The transcript has 2 exons.